GCGCACCAGGCGCGAAUACUUUACAAUGUGCGAAAGCACGAUAAGGGAACUCUGAGUGCCUCCUAAGGAGGCUGUUCAGGUGUCUAAAAGCACCUGAAGGAAGGGCUGGGUAAGACCGGUGCCAGCCGCCGCGGUAACACCGGCAGCCCAAGUGGUAGCCACGUUUAUUGGGUCUAAAGCGUCCGUAGCCGGCUGGGUAAGUUCCUUGGGAAAUUUGGCUGCUUAACAGUCAAGCUCUCAGGGAAUACUGCCCGGCUUGGGACCGGGAGAGGUCAGAGGUACUCCAGGGGUAGGGGUGAAAUCCAUUAAAUCCUUGGGGGACCACCGGUAGCGAAGGCGUCUGACCAGACCGGGUCCGACGGUGAGGGACGAAGGCUAGGGGCGCGAACCGGAUUAGAUACCCG
Molecule: ribosomal RNA, 404 nt
Filed under: uncultured microorganism
Description: bacterial SSU rRNA
Rfam family: Archaeal small subunit ribosomal RNA
Source: RNAcentral